UGCAGCGCAGACCCUCCGCGGCCCCGGGCCGAGGGAGGCACGCUAGGCCCUUCCGGUCCGAGCCGCCGUCGCCGGGAGGCCGGGCGACAAGCCGGGCGACGGGCCGGGCUUCCACCCGAGCCCGGGGAUUCGCGGCCUACCCUCGCCGGUGCCCUCUCGCUGACUCCGACACCGGCAGUUCCUCCGCCUCGGCCCCUUCGCCUGAGGUUACGGAAAAGGAGCCUGGCCGGGGAUUCGCCCGGAGGCCGAGCUCCCGGGACUCCCCCUCCUCCUUCCCGCCUCCCUCUGGGUCUUCUGCCCCCACCCCAACUCUGCAAGGCCACAGCGCCGGUCUUCCGCGGGGUUCUUAGGGCCUCGGAGCAGAUGGCCUUUGUCAGAGGCUGUUCAUCACUUUCCUGCGAAAAUGACGAGAAACUCUGAAGUAUUCACAUUGGAUUUGUCUGUCGAGACUAGAUGGUUGAGCAGCUAAUAAGCUACUGACAUCCAGGUAAGCACUGUCUUCUGUGAAGUCUCCUUCAUAAGCUCUUAGGAGCCAACCAUUUCGUUGGCCUU
Molecule: long non-coding RNA, 552 nt
Filed under: Ursus americanus (American black bear)
Lineage: Eukaryota; Metazoa; Chordata; Mammalia; Carnivora; Ursidae
Description: lncRNA (ENSUAMG00000025541.1)
Source: RNAcentral